This 208-nucleotide ribosomal RNA is filed under the name Staphylococcus aureus. RNAcentral describes it as "partial 16S ribosomal RNA". It matches the Rfam family "Bacterial small subunit ribosomal RNA", at positions 567 to 760 of the family's 1533-position model. The record is from RNAcentral. Lineage: Bacteria; Bacillati; Bacillota; Bacilli; Caryophanales; Staphylococcaceae.
GGGUUAGGGGUAGCCGCGCGUAGGCGGUUUCUUAGUCUGAUGUGAAAGCCCACGGCUCAACCGUGGAGGGUCAUUGGAAACUGGGAAACUUGAGUGCAGAAGAGGAAAGUGGAAUUCCAUGUGUAGCGGUGAAAUGCGCAGAGAUAUGGAGGAACACCAGUGGCGAAGGCGACUUUCUGGUCUGUAACUGACGCUGAUGUGCGAAAAG